UAUCCCAAAUCUGAGCUUUGACGAUCUUAUCAUCGACAUGGAUGCUACGAGUGGCGAAUUCUACACCGAUCGUGGAUUUAGAUUCGAGACUGAACUCGUUGCGCGUGAAUCGAGAAAGGAGGUUGGAUUUUCCAACGCCGGAGUCUCCAAUUAACACAACUUUGAAGAGGUAAUCGUACUCGUCGUCGGCUCUAUAUGCGGCCAUUGUGAGGUUCUCUGAUUAGAGAAUCUCUCCUCGGAAAAUUUUAUGGAUCUGAGAUUUCUAGAAAUUUAGCGCGUAUCGAUCAACCAAUGAGAAGAAGAACAAAAAAAGAAGAGAGAGUUUCAAAUUUCCAGGGGAAAGACAAAAAUGUUAAAAAAUAAAUCAAGGAGAUCCGGAUCCGACUUAAUUUCGGGUCUGGGUUGUUAUCCAGGUCCUU
Molecule: long non-coding RNA, 419 nt
Organism: Arabidopsis thaliana (thale cress)
Lineage: Eukaryota; Viridiplantae; Streptophyta; Magnoliopsida; Brassicales; Brassicaceae
Product: other RNA
Exons: 1
Source: RefSeq